AACGAACGCUGGCGGCAUGCCUAACACAUGCAAGUCGAACGAGACCUUCGGGUCUAGUGGCGCACGGGUGCGUAACGCGUGGGAACCUGCCCUUAGGUUCGGAAUAACUCCCCGAAAGGGGUGCUAAUACCGGAUAAUGUCUUCGGACCAAAGAUUUAUCGCCUUUGGAUGGGCCCGCGUUGGAUUAGCUAGUUGGUAGGGUAAAAGCCUACCAAGGCGACGAUCCAUAGCUGGUCUGAGAGGAUGAUCAGCCACACUGGGACUGAGACACGGCCCAGACUCCUACGGGAGGCAGUAGUGGGGAAUAUUGGAAAAUGGGCGAAAGCAUGAUCAAGCAAUGCCGCGUGAGUGAUGAAGGCAUUAGGGUUGUAAAGCUCUUUUAACCGGGAUGAUAAUGACAGUACCGGGAGAAUAAGCUCCGGCUAACUCCGUG
Molecule: ribosomal RNA, 433 nt
Filed under: uncultured bacterium
Lineage: Bacteria
Description: partial 16S ribosomal RNA
Rfam family: Bacterial small subunit ribosomal RNA
Source: RNAcentral